Lytechinus pictus (painted urchin) is the source of this 3915-nucleotide long non-coding RNA. RefSeq lists it as uncharacterized. The transcript has 2 exons. NCBI's taxonomy places the organism in Eukaryota, Metazoa, Echinodermata, Echinoidea, Temnopleuroida, Toxopneustidae. The record is from RefSeq and is a predicted model, not a curated record.
AGGAAGGGCUUCCCCUGGAGUUCUUGGCUACCAUCCAGGAGGACCGGUCUUUGUGGAAGGGGUGCGCUACCGUACCCCUGGAGUACCUCCCUCCCGGCCUGAAGGGGUUCAAUGCAUACGCCAUCCAUGGGACGGGGGAGCAGAGGGAAUACCAGGCGCUGUACCCCGCUGAGAGGGGCAAGCAUGAGCACCCUGACUUCCACAGACUAAAAUACUUUACAGAGAUAUCAUGGGAUGGCAUCGUAGACGUAUCGAGACUACCUCUGCCAACAUCUGUUUGGAAGUGACAAGGGCCAUCUUCAAAUUUCUCUUUCCUUGCCAGUGAGAAGACUAGUCUUCCAUUUCAGCUUUUUUCGAUACUUGUUUUCAAUGAGGAGACCAUAUUGACAUGUGAAACAUUUGUUGGUAUAAUUAUUUGUAUGGUGUCGCUUGUGCCUGUGAGGCUUAUAUAGCGUUUCAUCAACAAUUUUCAUCUGACAAAUUGUCGAAUCUGAUAACUUUCCUUGAUUCAUAUUGGCUUAGAAGCACUGCUAAUAUGGUAACUUUCUGAUAAAACAUGAUUUGUCUGAUGGAAUGUUUGACAAGUCUUAUAAUGAAACACUCCUCUGAUGACCCCUCUCCUGAUGAUAUAUCUUACUGGGGGCUGUUUCAUAAAGCUGUUCGUAAGUUAAGAAUGACGUUAAGAACGACUGAUCCUUUCUUGUGGUAAAUGGUAUUCACCAUUGUUCAUUGGUGAUUGUUUUGCGCGUAAGAAAGGUUCACCAGUUGUUCUUAAAGUCGUUCUUAACUUACGAACAGCUUUAUGAAACACCCACCAGGGUUUCCUCCUGGUGUCAUAUGAAUAUUGCAGCAGGUUCUUAAUAUGCAAAUUAAGGUCAUGAAAACAUGUACAUGUAUGUAUAUGAACACACAGGGCCUUCAUUAAUAUCCUAUCCAAUGGAUGAGCUCAUAAAACUCAUGAAAGUUGCACUUGCAAGGCGAGGGUUUUCUGCUUUACACAAAUACAAUUAUUUAGGCUUCAAAUACAUUUAUAUAACUUUAAACAUGUAACUUGAGUUACAGUAGAGUCUGCUUGAGUCAACCUUCCAUAACAACGUAGAAGCUUUUUUUUUCAGACCAGAAUAUGCGAAGGUGUUAUUUACAAGUCUAAUUUGGCCUAGGUCAAAUAGAUGUCUUUUGUCCCAAUAUGUCCCGACUUUCUCCGCUUCACCUAUAAAUUGACUUCCCUGAUCUACUGCCCAAAAAAUGAAAUAUUCCUUUGAGACUAUUUUUUGCAUUCUUAAGACAAUCAUAUGUUUAUUUAUCAAUCUAUUAAUUUGUAAUAUAUAAAUUUUGAAAGGAGAAAUUCUUAAAUUAAAGGAAAUGUUUGGAGAUGAAAUUGAAAAUUGAAAAUGAUCAAAUAGCAGUUCAAAUAAUUAUCUCCCAUGAGUUUUCAAACUUCCAUCUGUGGAACUUUUUGCUGUAAUUUAAAGUUUUCACCUAAAUUAAAACACAGUCAUCAGUGAUGGAUCAAGGAUUGUGAAAUAGAGGGGGUACAAAUAGCAAAUAGAGAAAUGGAAGGGGUGCAGAUGAUAAUUUUCUCAGAAUUGACUGUAUUUAUACAAAAUGGGCAAUAUUCAAAUUAUAGAGGAGUGCGCCCCCGCCUGGAUCUGCCAUUCGUCAUCAGACUGUUUUGGCAGACAGAAUGCUGUAGGCGGUCUUAGAAAAAUUAGAUAGUUGUUUACAUCCUGAUUUUAAUUGAUAACAUCCUUAUUUUGCUUUUCUGUUGCUCUUUCUAAUUCUUCAAGUUGAGGAAGAGCAUUUACUGGUCAAGGUUUUGAAAUCCCAGGCCCUGUUACAUGAAGCACAGUGAUUGAUCGCAUUGCUGGUUAAUAUGAUUGAUUGCAUUGACUAUUGUGUAUGAUCAAUGGUAAAUAUCAGCUCAAUAAUUGAUCGUAAGUUUAUGUUAUGUGGUGCUGGCCUGGUGGGUGUUCCAUAAAGCUGUUCAUAAGUUAAGAGCGACUUAAAGAACGACUGGUGAUCCUUUCUUGUGGUAAAUGUUAUACAACAAAAUGUUAAUUGGGGAUGGUUUAGCACGUGAGAAAGGUUCACCAGUCAUUCCUAAAGUCGCUCUUAACUUACAAAAUUCAUGAAAAGGCCCCCUUGGCUUAUACAGGAAAGUAGGGUCCUGUGUAAAAAAUAUGGAAAAAUUAUCUUUUGGAAAAACCAUUUCCAUUCAAAUAACUUAGGCCUAUACUAAAAAAAUAAUAUGAUUGAAUAUAUGUGAAUUGCAUUAAUGACAUCAAUUAUUUUUUACUCUCUUAUUUUUAUUUUGUAUCUUUAAACAAUAUUUUAAACAAUGAUGUUGAUAAUUAUUUAAUCAUUAUAUCCAUUAAUUAGCUCUACACAUUACAGUAUACUUAUUUGAUUAUUCCCUUUAAAACAAAGACGUUUGAGUCAGGGGGAGAUAGGUGUCACAAACAUCCCCAAGAAUGCGGUAGAACUUGACAUCUGCGGUGGACAUAUACAAGUAUGUGCCCAGCUGUGCCACGGUUCUCAAAUCAUGAAGAAAUAUAGUCAUGUGACAGUGAGAGACCUCGGAAUAACCAAAAGAGGAUCUGUGUCAUGCCUGGUUUAGCAAAUAUUUUCGUAUUUUGGAUUAGAAGGUUUUAGAGAGAAUUUCUUCACCCACGGUUCGAGGUCUUUACUUAUAGAAGGCCUGCACUCAUAACAGUGAUUUUUUUUUUAUAAAAAAGUGAUUUAUAAGUACUCUCUACUUAACUGAGAGACUUUUUGUAAAUAAACCAAGUAUAUGCUUUGCUGAGAUGCUGUCUCAGGGUCGCAAUAUGAUGACAUGUGAUAAGCGGAUGUGUUACACUUUUUAGAAAGAAUUUCAAAUUUUUGUUGUUUUGAUGAGGAGUUCUGCAUCCUUAUUUUCUUUCUCCGGAGACCAAAAUUAAUGUAACUGGUUGAAUUAGACAUCAGUUUCAAUAUGUCACUGACAUAUUUUCUGGCUGCAUUGUAAACUCCUUGUCCUUUUUGUAUACAUGUAGUUUGAAAUAUAAUAUCAAGUUUCUAUAUAUUUGUUAUUUUUAGUUUGUAAAUUUUAGAAGUUUGAAGAUUUUUUUUUGUGGACAGUCAGUUCCCAUCAUUUAAACUAAAUGCAAUAUUCCAUUGAUAUUAACAUUAAUUUACUUUUGAACAUGGAUAUCAAUUCAUUAUGAGGAUACAUAAUCAUUUGUGAGUCCUACAUUUAAUAAAAAGUAAUUCGGUGGAGUCACAGUAUGGUGCGCUGUGAUGCUGUGACUGUGAUGCUUCUUAACCCACAGACUCCCAUGCCUACCUCCUCCUAUGCUCUUGCCACCCCUCACAUCUUCAAAAAGUAUACCAUACAGACUCGCUCUCCAUAUAUAAACCGCAAUUGCUUACAACCAAACCGCUGCGACUCCCAUCUUGAUGAACUUCAAUAGCACUUCUCACAACGCAAUCAUGACCCUAAACGCAGCCAAGAACAAAUCGACCGCGCACAUACGACCAAUUACUAAAAAUCCCUCAAAUCAUCAAGAAACACAUAUGCACAUUAUCAGAAAACCAACAACUUCAUACCAUCUUCCAAUGAAGAACCCCCCUCCCCAUGGUUGCCUUCAGGAGAGCACGCACACUCUGUGACCUCCUUACAAGAGCAGCCGACCCUACACCCAAAGACAAUUAACAGACACAUAUUAGAUACUGACAACAAACAACAUCAGUGGCUUCCGCAAUUGCAAAUCAAAACAAUAUAUGACACUUACAUCAAAGAGGGUCAAACAUGCAACAGUACAAUUACUGGCCAGGCAAACCCCAUCAACUCCCAACUUCAUUGCAAAUCUGAAUGGAUCAUAUACCUCAUGACAUACAAAAAGUGCCACAAACAAUACAUGGAUAAGACAGAAAAUA